AACGAACGCUGGCGGCAUGCCUAACACAUGCAAGUCGAACGCCCCGCAAGGGGAGUGGCGAACGGGUGAGUAACGCGUGGGAACCUACCCAGCAGUUGGGGAUAACCGCGGGAAACUGCGGCUAAUACCGAAUACGUCCUAAGGGAGAAAGAUUUAUCGCUGUUGGAGGGGCCCGCGUCGGAUUAGCUAGUUGGUGAGGUAACGGCUCACCAAGGCGACGAUCCGUAGCUGGUCUGAGAGGAUGAUCAGCCACACUGGGACUUAGACACGGCCCAGACUCCUACGGGAGGCAGCAGUGGGGAAUAUUGGACAAUGGGGGCAACCCUGAUCCAGCAAUGCCGCGUGAGUGAUGAAGGCCUUAGGGUUGUAAAGCUCUUUUACCGGGGACGAUGAUGACGGUACCCGGAGAAUAAGCCCCGGCUAACUUCGUGCCAGCCGCCGCUGUAA
This 447-nucleotide ribosomal RNA is filed under the name uncultured bacterium. RNAcentral's name for it is "partial 16S ribosomal RNA". It matches the Rfam family "Bacterial small subunit ribosomal RNA", at positions 29 to 523 of the family's 1533-position model. The record is from RNAcentral.